AUUGAACGCUGGCGGCAGGCCUAACACAUGCAAGUCGAACGCGAGGAGGACGGGUGAGUAAUAUCUGGGACACUGCCCGAUGUAGGGGGAUCACUACUUGAAACGGUAGCUAAUAACGCAUACCAUCGGAUGUGCUCAGAUGGGAUUGUCUAGUAGGUGGGGUAACGGCUCACCUAGGCGACGAUCCCUGGCUGGUCUGUGAGGAUAACAAGCCAACCUGGAACUGAGAACCGGUCCAGCCGCCUACGGGAGGCAGCGGUGGGGAAUAUUGCACCAUGGGCGCAAGCCUGAUGCAGCCAUGCCGCGUGUAUGAAGAGGGCCUUCGGGUUGUAAAGUACUUUCAGCGAGGAGGCGUUACUCGCAGAAGAAGCACCGGCUAACUCCGUGCCAGCAGCCGCGGUAAUAC
RNAcentral lists this ribosomal RNA (406 nucleotides) under uncultured bacterium. RNAcentral's name for it is "partial 16S ribosomal RNA". It matches the Rfam family "Bacterial small subunit ribosomal RNA", at positions 30 to 526 of the family's 1533-position model. The record is from RNAcentral.